RNAcentral lists this transfer RNA (73 nucleotides) under Anguilla anguilla (European eel). RNAcentral describes it as "tRNA-OTHER". The record is from RNAcentral. Lineage: Eukaryota; Metazoa; Chordata; Actinopteri; Anguilliformes; Anguillidae.
GCAUGGUGGUGCAGUGGAUAGCACUGUUGCCUCACAGCAAGAAGGUCCUGGGUUCAAAUCUCUAUCAGAUGUA